Oncorhynchus masou masou (cherry salmon) is the source of this 3249-nucleotide long non-coding RNA. RefSeq lists it as uncharacterized. The record is from RefSeq and is a predicted model, not a curated record. NCBI's taxonomy places the organism in Eukaryota, Metazoa, Chordata, Actinopteri, Salmoniformes, Salmonidae. The transcript has 3 exons.
GAGGAGGAGGAGGGAGGUGAAACCUAGUGGAGGAGGAGGAGGAGGAGGGAGGUGAAACCUAGUGGAGGAGGAGGAGGGAGGUGUGUGUACACAGACUUGAGGAGACCCGACCAGACAUUUCUGGUCAACCCUCGUCCAUAGGAGGGGUUGUGCUGGAGUUGUAAUGCACCCAGAAUACAUCCAGAAUACAUCCACACCCAGAAUACAUCCAGAAUACAUCUACACCCAGAAUACAUCUACACCCAGAAUACAUCCAGAAUACAUCUACACCCAGAAUACAUCCAGAAUACAUCUACACCCAGAAUACAUCCAGAAUACAUCUACACCCAGAAUACAUCCACACCCAGAAUACAUCCACACAACCCUACUGAGUUCUAGUGUUUUCCCCUCCUCUCUUCUUCCCUCACUUGUGUUGUCUCCUGCUGUCCCAUGAUUCAUAUGUUAAAUAAUAGAUGUUCUCUUCAUGGAUCUCUGCCUGCUCUCCUUCUCUCCAUCUCUCCUCACUCUGCCUGCUUUCUCUCCUCACUCUGCCUGCUCUCUCUCCCUUCUCCCCCUCUUCCACUUUACAUCUAUCCAUCUCCCUCACUUUGCCUGCUCUCUCCCUCCCAUCUCGCUCUCUCCCUCCCAUCUCGCUCUCUCCCUCCCAUCUCCCUCACUUUGCCUGCUCUCUCCCACCCAUCUCACUCUCUCCCUCCCAUCACCCUCACUUUGCCUGCUCUCUCCCUCCCAUCACCCUCACUUUGCAUUCUCUCACACUCCCUUCCUCUUUACCUCCCAUCUCCUUCCCUCCUUGUUCUUUACUUCCCAUCUCCCUCCCUCCUUCUCCCUUCCCUACCCUCCCCUCUUCUCUCUCCCUUUUCUCUUCUCCCCAGAGUCAUCCAGUCUGCUUGCCAGUUUUCCUCUCCUUCCUUUCUCGCUCUCCUCCUUUCCUUCCUUUCUCGCUCUCCUCCUCUGCUCUCUGCACCAGUUUCCAGUGAACGUCACCCUAUUCCUAACACAGGCUCUGGUCUAAAGUAGUGCACUAUGUAGGGAAUAGGGUGCCAGGGCCCAUAGAGCUCUGGUCUAAAGUAGUGCACUAUGUAGGGAAUAGGGUGCCAGGACCCAUAGAGCUCUGGUCUAAAGUAGUGCACUAUGUAGGGAAUAGUGUACCAUUUAGGACGUAGUCCCAGACUCACCCAAUGAAGCCUGGUUGUCAGGCUGAGUGGUGUUCUCUUCUCACUGCAGGGCGGCCAUUUUGUUUUCCUACACAGACAGUCAGCGACGUGAGCGUGGAGCCCCAGAGUUCCUCCUAUUCAGGGAAAUCUCCUGGCCCUCAAAGCUAUUUUUCUCCCUCAUUGUUCUGUGUUUUACUGAACUGUCCCUCUGGUCUCAGCGAGAGUAGUAUCUCUCUGAGUAUCAACCGAUAGAAGGACAGGCUCUUCUAUGUAUGGACGGACGGCCUCUUCUCAUUUGGGAAAAAGUCUGUCCUCUCUCCGUCUUCUCUUCUGCGUGAUCCGGAAACCGAUAAGUGGUCGAGUGGUGCCAAUUAGUUAGACGAACGGAAGAGGCUCCUCGCCUCCUCGAUAGCCAAUUAGUUGGUAGACGAACGGAAGAGGCUCCUCCCCUCCUCGAUAGCCACCUUUCAUGGAGGAUGGUCAUGUGGAUCCUACCUGAGUCCUUCACGGAAAUACUCUUGAAAUGUUUUUUUAAUUUAUUUUUUUAAUCACGUUACACAUUUAUUGGGGAUUCCACCCUGUAAACAUAAUUUGCCUGAUGAUGCGUAAGUGGAGAGGAGUCUUAAUUCUAUACAGGUAGCAUUUUCACCCACGUUCCCCUCUCACCCACGUUCCCUUCACACCCACGUUCCCUUCUCGCCGCCUCUCCUCGAUUACCUUUGACCUUGUUCCAAAAGGAGGCGAUAGAGAACGGAGGGAGAGAGGGACGCCGGAGUUGAGCAAAUGUAAUGGAGAAAAGGACUUUGUUUUAUGUAGUUUGUAUGCAACAAUUGCAUCCAUCGCCUCAAAAGUCCAGUAUUGUAUGAAUGAAGAAAAUAGGACUUUAACUCUCGUCUGCUUUUUAUAAAGAAGCUUCUCCCCCGACAGCCUUUUUCCAGGCCUCCCUCUGUGAGGUUUUCCUGGUUAGGUCACAUGGUCAGGUCAUGAGGUCAGGGAAAACCUCUCGGUCUGGUAAUAUGAAAAGGUUGUCAUGCUGUUCUUUGGCCAGGACAGAAGCAUAGGAUGUAUUCCAAAUGGCACCCUAGUCACUAUGGUCCCUGGUCAAAAGUAGUGCCCUAUCUAGGGAAUAGGGUGCCAGUAGAGUCCUAAUAGUGAUCUGGUUGGUUGUAGACUGUAAAGGAGGAACGAGGUGUUUUGGUUCUUGGGCAGCACGUCAUAAUUAUGGACCCCACUACCUUCGACAUGUAGAGAAGACGAGCUUUCAACAAAACCUUUUUGUCGUUCAUUUUAAAACGUUUUGACAUUGUAAUGUGUUUUAUUACGACACCAGCCUUUGAUGUUGUCCUUUUAUAAUAGUCGGACAUCAGGAAGGCCUCAAAUUACACCCUAUUCUUCAAAAUAGUGCAGUACUUUUUAAAAUAAGUGCCCUAAUAAUGGGGGAAUAGGGUGUAAUUUGGAAACAGAGAUAUCAUAUUUUUUUCCAUCUCAAAUGAUUUCUCUAGAUAGGAUUAAUGUUGUUGUUAUUAUGAUGGACUGUUUAAAAAAAAAAAAAGUUGGCAAAGAAUGAUGGGAGAUGGAGUUUUGUGAUCAUGUCAAGAGAAGGGCCCCGUUUGGGGGGUGUCCCUGAUGUUGCCUGAGUAGAGGUUGUAAAAUGUGUGUCCCAAAUGGCACCCUAUUCCUUAUAUAGAGCACUGCUUUUGAACAGAGCAGUGCUCUUGAUAGGAAAUAGGCGGCCAUUUUGGACUAAGGGAAGAGAAAUGAUGGUGAACACAAAAUGUAAACACUAUGUGUGUGUCCUAAAAAAAGCACUUUUAUUACCUAUGUAGUGCAUAUGCCAUUGGGCCCUGGUCAAAAGUAGUGCACUACAUAGGGGAUAGGGUGCGAUUUGGGAUGCAUACCUAUUUUCCUUUGGUUGUAGCUGCUGCUGGGUAAUUUAAACAAGGAGUGUGUGUGAUCGAGCGAGCGCAAGAGUGUGUUCUUAAUUAUUAUUUUUUAAAUAAGCCGAAACAUGUUUUUAAAUUAUUGAUUGUACAGUUUUAGGCUAGGGUAUGAAAAGCAGAGACUUUUUUUCACAAUAAAAACUGUUCUUAACGUU